GUGCUCACUUCAGCAGCACAUAAACUAAAAUUGGAAUGAUACAAAGAUUAGCAUAGCCCCCAUGCAAGCAUGACAUACAAAUUUGUGAAGCAUUCCAUAUUUUU
Molecule: small nuclear RNA, 104 nt
Organism: Hyaena hyaena (striped hyena)
Lineage: Eukaryota; Metazoa; Chordata; Mammalia; Carnivora; Hyaenidae
Source: RefSeq, a predicted model, not a curated record